RNAcentral lists this ribosomal RNA (500 nucleotides) under Platypleura sp. 04 MHV-2009. Its description in RNAcentral is "partial 16S ribosomal RNA". It matches the Rfam family "Bacterial large subunit ribosomal RNA", at positions 1842 to 2600 of the family's 2925-position model. Lineage: Eukaryota; Metazoa; Arthropoda; Insecta; Hemiptera; Cicadidae. The record is from RNAcentral.
AAAAUUAAAGGUCUAAUCUGCCCAAUGAUAAUUGAAUGGCCGCGGUAACUUGACCGUGCAAAGGUAGCAUAAUUAUUAGUCUUUUAAUUGAAGGCUUGAAUGAAUGAUUGGAUGAAAAAUAAACUUUAUUAACAAAAAUUAUUUAAUUUAUUAUUUAAGUAAAAAUUCUUAAAUAUUCAAGUGGGACGAGAAGACCCUAUAGAGUUUUAUUUUUAUUUUUAUCAUAAUAUUUUAGAAUUAAUAUUUUUAUAAUAAAAGUAAAUUUUUUAUUGGGGUGAUAUUAAAAAUUAUUAAACUUUUAAUUAAUAUUUCAUUAAUAUAUGUAUUAUUGAUCCAGAAUAAAAUUUUGAUUAUAAGAAUAAAUUACCUUAGGGAUAACAGCGUUAUUAAUUUGAAGAGUUCAAAUCGAUAAAUUAGUUUGCGACCUCGAUGUUGGAUUAAGAAUAAAUUUUGAAGUAGUAUUUAAAAUUAUAGGUCUGUUCGACCUUUAAAUUCUUACG